This 1582-nucleotide ribosomal RNA is filed under the name Enterococcus faecium. RNAcentral describes it as "partial 23S ribosomal RNA". It matches the Rfam family "Bacterial large subunit ribosomal RNA", at positions 132 to 1714 of the family's 2925-position model. Lineage: Bacteria; Bacillati; Bacillota; Bacilli; Lactobacillales; Enterococcaceae. The record is from RNAcentral.
CAUCUUUAAUAGGAUGUUACGAUUGUGUGAAUACAUAGCACAUUCGAGGUAGACGCAGAGAACUGAAACAUCUAAGUACCUGCAGGAAGAGAAAGAAAAUUCGAUUCCCUGAGUAGCGGCGAGCGAAACGGGAAAAGCCCAAACCAGCAAGCUUGCUUGUUGGGGUUGUAGGACUCCGAUAUGGUAGUUCUUUCAGAUAGUCGAAUGACUUGGAAAAGUCAGUCAAAGAGGGUAAAAACCCCGUAGACGAAAUGUGGAAGACACCUAGGAGGAUCCUGAGUACGGCGGAACACGAGAAAUUCCGUCGGAAUCCGGGAGGACCAUCUCCCAAGGCUAAAUACUCCCUAGUGACCGAUAGUGAACCAGUACCGUGAGGGAAAGGUGAAAAGCACCCCGGAAGGGGAGUGAAAUAGAACCUGAAACCGUGUGCCUACAACAAGUCAAAGCCCGUUAAUGGGUGAUGGCGUGCCUUUUGUAGAAUGAACCGGCGAGUUACGAUUGCAUGCGAGGUUAAGUUGAAGAGACGGAGCCGCAGCGAAAGCGAGUCUGAAUAGGGCGUUUGAGUAUGUAGUCGUAGACCCGAAACCAUGUGAUCUACCCAUGUCCAGGUUGAAGGUGCGGUAAAACGCACUGGAGGACCGAACCCACGUACGUUGAAAAGUGCGGGGAUGAGGUGUGGGUAGCGGAGAAAUUCCAAACGAACUUGGAGAUAGCUGGUUCUCUCCGAAAUAGCUUUAGGGCUAGCCUCGGAAUUGAGAAUGAUGGAGGUAGAGCACUGUUUGGACUAGGGGCCCAUCUCGGGUUACCGAAUUCAGAUAAACUCCGAAUGCCAUUCAUUCAUAUCCGGGAGUCAGACUGUGAGUGAUAAGAUCCAUAGUCGAAAGGGAAACAGCCCAGACCACCAGCUAAGGUCCCAAAAUAUAUGUUAAGUGGAAAAGGAUGUGGGGUUGCACAGACAACUAGGAUGUUGGCUUAGAAGCAGCCACCAUUUAAAGAGUGCGUAAUAGCUCACUAGUCGAGUGACCCUGCGCCGAAAAUGUACCGGGGCUAAACAUAUUACCGAAGCUGUGGAGUACACCUUUAGGUGUAUUGGUAGGAGAGCGUUCUAAGGGCGUUGAAGGCAGAUCGUGAGGACUGCUGGAGCGCUUAGAAGUGAGAAUGCCGGUAUGAGUAGCGAAAGACAGGUGAGAAUCCUGUCCACCGAAUGACUAAGGUUUCCUGGGGAAGGCUCGUCCGCCCAGGGUUAGUCGGGACCUAAGCCGAGGCCGACAGGCGUAGGCGAUGGAUAACAGGUUGAUAUUCCUGUACCCGUUGUUUUUGUUUGAGCAAUGGAGGGACGCAGGAGGCUAAGGAAUGCAGACGAUCGGAAAUGUCUGUCCAAGCAGUAAGUCUGAAGAGGAGUCAAAUGCUUCUUUUCUUAAGGACAAGCUGUGAUGGGGAGGGAAAUAAUAGUACCGAAGUUCCUGAUGUCACACUGCCGAGAAAAGCUUCUAGUGAGAAAACAGCGGCCCGUACCGCAAACCGACACAGGUAGUCGAGGAGAGAAUCCUAAGGUGAGCGAGAGAACUCUCGUUAAGGAACU